Molecule: ribosomal RNA, 728 nt
Filed under: Streptomyces sp. YIM 61522
Lineage: Bacteria; Bacillati; Actinomycetota; Actinomycetes; Kitasatosporales; Streptomycetaceae
Description: bacterial SSU rRNA
Rfam family: Bacterial small subunit ribosomal RNA
Source: RNAcentral
AACCACUUCGGUGGGGAUUAGUGGCGAACGGGUGAGUAACACGUGGGCAAUCUGCCCUGCACUCUGGGACAAGCCCUGGAAACGGGGUCUAAUACCGGAUACUGAACCUUGCAGGCAUCUGUGAGGGUCGAAAGCUCCGGCGGUGCAGGAUGAGCCCGCGGCCUAUCAGCUAGUUGGUGAGGUAAUGGCUCACCAAGGCGACGACGGGUAGCCGGCCUGAGAGGGCGACCGGCCACACUGGGACUGAGACACGGCCCAGACUCCUACGGGAGGCAGCAGUGGGGAAUAUUGCACAAUGGGCGAAAGCCUGAUGCAGCGACGCCGCGUGAGGGAUGACGGCCUUCGGGUUGUAAACCUCUUUCAGCAGGGAAGAAGCGAAAGUGACGGUACCUGCAGAAGAAGCGCCGGCUAACUACGUGCCAGCAGCCGCGGUAAUACGUAGGGCGCAAGCGUUGUCCGGAAUUAUUGGGCGUAAAGAGCUCGUAGGCGGCUUGUCGCGUCGGUUGUGAAAGCCCGGGGCUUAACCCCGGGUCUGCAGUCGAUACGGGCAGGCUAGAGUUCGGUAGGGGAGAUCGGAAUUCCUGGUGUAGCGGUGAAAUGCGCAGAUAUCAGGAGGAACACCGGUGGCGAAGGCGGAUCUCUGGGCCGAUACUGACGCUGAGGAGCGAAAGCGUGGGGAGCGAACAGGAUUAGAUACCCUGGUAGUCCACGCCGUAAACGGUGGGCAC